AACACNNCGUGAGUGAAGNANGGNUUCGGCUCGUAAAGCUCUGUNNUUAAAGAAGAACACGUAUGAGAGUAACUGUUCAUACGUUGACGGUAUUUAACCAGAAAGUCACGGCUAACUACGUGCCAGCAGCCGCGGUAAUACGUAGGUGGCAAGCGUUAUCCGGAUUUAUUGGGCGUAAAGAGAGUGCAGGCGGUUUUCUAAGUCUGAUGUGAAAGCNUUCGGCUUAACCGGAGAAGUGCAUCGGAAACUGGAUAACUUGAGUGCAGAAGAGGGUAGUGGAACUCCAUGUGUAGCGGUGGAAUGCGUAGAUAUAUGGAAGAACACCAGUGGCGAAGGCGGCUACCUGGUCUGCAACUGACGCUGAGACUCGAAAGCAUGGGUAGCGAACAGGAUUAGAUACCCUGGUAGUCCAUGCCGUAAACGAUGAGUGCUAGGUGUUGGAGGGUUUCCGCCCUUCAGUGCCGGAGCUAACGCAUUAAGCACUCCGCCUGGGGAGUACGACCGCAAGGUUGAAACUCAAAGGANNUNNNGGGGGCCCGCACAAGCGGUGGAGCAUGUGGUUUAAUUCGAAGCUACGCGAAGAACCUUACCAGGUCUUGACAUCUUGCGCCAACCCUAGAGAUAGGGCGUUUCCUUCGGGAACGCAAUGACAGGUGGUGCAUGGUCGUCGUCAGCUCGUGUCGUGAGAUGUUGGGUUAAGUCCCGCAACGAGCGCAACCCUUGUUACUAGUUGCCAGCAUUAAGUUGGGCACUCUAGUGAGACUGCCGGUGACAAACCGGAGGAAGGUGGGGACGACGUCAGAUCAUCAUGCCCCUUAUGACCUGGGCUACACACGUGCUACAAUGGACGGUACAACGAGUCGCGAACUCGCGAGGGCAAGCAAAUCUCUUAAAACCGUUCUCAGUUCGGACUGCAGGCUGCAACUCGCCUGCACGAAGUCGGAAUCGCUAGUAAUCGCGGAUCAGCA
This 968-nucleotide ribosomal RNA is filed under the name Limosilactobacillus fermentum. RNAcentral describes it as "bacterial SSU rRNA". It matches the Rfam family "Bacterial small subunit ribosomal RNA", at positions 393 to 1354 of the family's 1533-position model. The record is from RNAcentral. Lineage: Bacteria; Bacillati; Bacillota; Bacilli; Lactobacillales; Lactobacillaceae.